GGGUUGUGAGGUUAAGCGACUAAGCGUACACGGUGGAUGCCUAGGCAGUCAGAGGCGAUGAAGGGCGUGCUAAUCUGCGAAAAGCGUCGGUAAGCUGAUAUGAAGCGUAAUAACCGACGAUACCCGAAUGGGGAAACCCAGUGCAAUUCGUUGCACUAUCGUUAGAUGAAUACAUAGUCUAACGAGGCGAACCGGGGGAACUGAAACAUCUAAGUACCCCGAGGAAAAGAAAUCAACCGAGAUUCCCCCAGUAGCGGCGAGCGAACGGGGAGGAGCCCAGAGUCUGAAUCA
Molecule: ribosomal RNA, 291 nt
Filed under: Yersinia massiliensis
Lineage: Bacteria; Pseudomonadati; Pseudomonadota; Gammaproteobacteria; Enterobacterales; Yersiniaceae
Description: partial 23S ribosomal RNA
Rfam family: Bacterial large subunit ribosomal RNA
Source: RNAcentral